UUUCCGUAGGUGAACCUGCGGAAGGAUCAUUACCGAGCUCAUGCCCUUACGGGUAGAUCUCAACCCUAUGUUAUCGUUACCUUUGUUGCUUUGGCGGGCCGUCCGGCCUCGGUUAGACUAUCGGCUCCGGCUGGUACGUGCCCGCCAGAGAAUAUCAAACCUUGCAUUUAAUGUUGUCUGAGUACUAUAUAAUAGUUAAAACUUUCAACAACGGAUCUCUUGGUUCUG
Molecule: unclassified non-coding RNA, 228 nt
Filed under: plant metagenome
Description: partial contains small subunit ribosomal RNA, internal transcribed spacer 1, and 5.8S ribosomal RNA
Source: RNAcentral